RNAcentral lists this unclassified non-coding RNA (309 nucleotides) under fungal sp. RNAcentral's name for it is "partial internal transcribed spacer region". The stretch from base 1 to 46 matches the Rfam family "Eukaryotic small subunit ribosomal RNA", at positions 1786 to 1831 of the family's 1831-position model. Lineage: Eukaryota; Fungi. The record is from RNAcentral.
AAGUCGUAACAAGGUUUCCGUAGGUGAACCUGCGGAAGGAUCAUUAUCGAGUGAACUUUGCGGGGGGUUUAGAUGCUGGUCGUAAGGGCAUUGUGCUCGGCCUCCCUGCUCAAACUCAUCCAACCACUGUGCAUCACUUCGAGAUUUUUAGCAGUCCUCCGGGUUUCCGGAGAAGCUUCGAUCCCUGAAAGGGGAUUUUGGCCGGGACUUGCGAAAGCUUGAUAUUCACACAAACCACACUUAUACAAAUGUCCAUUAGAAUGCAAAUUUGAUAAAAUACAACUUUCAACAACGGAUCUCUUGGCUCUC